Molecule: long non-coding RNA, 485 nt
Filed under: Meleagris gallopavo (turkey)
Lineage: Eukaryota; Metazoa; Chordata; Aves; Galliformes; Phasianidae
Description: lncRNA (ENSMGAG00000022517.1)
Source: RNAcentral
GCUCACAGUGCUCAGCCUGCUUCUUGUUGGCCCCAGGUGAGUCCGCUCUUCCAAAAGCUGGAGAGUGAGCGCAUCGACGCCCUCCGCAAGCGCUUCGGGGGGGGGCAGGCAAAACCCCCAACCCCCCCACGCAGUCAGACCCUCCCUCAGUGCCAGGCACGGCUCCCACUGACCCCAGCCGCAUCCAGGAGCUGACAGAGCAGGUGGCCGAGCAGGGCGACUGCGUGCGGCGGCUGAAGGCGAGCGGGGCGGACAGGGCGCGCAUCGACAGCGAGGUGGGGAAACUGCUGGCCCUGAAACGGGAGCUGGCGCUGGCUCAGAACGCGAGCCCCGACAGCAAAGGGAAGAAGUAACACAGCGGGACCGCGCCGUGCCACGCGUGUAAUAAAACCCAAAUGCCGUACAGCGGUGCUGGAAGCCAUCGUCCUUUCGCGGGGCCGCCCCACCCCGGCCCUCUAAGCGCGGCGCAGGCUGAGGACGCGCUC